UUACUGGCUUUUUCCAUUCCGGGCCGCUGCUAUUAAUACGACACCAAUUCUUCUCUCCUGCUAAAAAAUUUAUGGCUCCUUUAGGCUGAUUCUUUUUUUUUUGGGCUGAUCCUUUAGGCUGAUUCCACUUUUGUGAUUUUGAUUUUUUGAGUUACAUGCCCCAGCCCAACAACAUCUCCGGUAUUUCAAGUUUGAGUACUAUGAAUGCAAACGACUAAGCCCAUCAAGCCAUACUAAAUAUUAAUUUAUAUUCUAUAAUCAUAUCAAAGUUUUUCCUUACAAUGCCAAGGACUGAAUUGCUACGAGACUACAUACAACGCAAUAUGAUGUCUCACCCCCAAAAAAAAAUUUUCUUUGAACAUGAUGAGGGGGUAGGAGGAAGGGCCUAGUUGGGCCCCCAAAAGAUCAAAUGGAAGAGGCAUGCAGCCUUUUCUCCCUCCCUCUGCCUCUUUUCAUCAUGGGCCAAACCAGUCCUAAUAGUGUUCAAUUUCAUUUCGCCCGCGGCCGCAAUACUCCUCCCGGAGCUGCUUUUGCCAUCACCGGAGUACUCCAUCAGGAAAGCAUUCCUCUUCUGCUGCUCCAUGCUCUUGAAUGCUGCCUCAAGCUUGCAAACCCUUUUGUUACCACUCAUCUUUCUCAGCCUUUUCUUUCCCUUUUCCUUCGUUUUUUUCGUUUGGUCCACUAAAAAGUUGGAAAAAAAAAAAGGUAAUUGGAUCAGUGAUCGUGACUAUAUAUUAAGACUUGAGCUAAUUAGCUUCUGAUAGAGCAUUUCUGGCCAUGCCACAUGUAGGCAUAUUUAUAGAAGACUAGAAAGAGACACCAGAAAGAAAGACGCGUCUGGAAAGUUGGUGGGAGCAAGUUUUAGAAAAGAAAACAAGGGGUGAGAGAUCCUUGGUUUUCCUUCACUUUCAGCGGUUUUUACCAAAAUGUGGCAACCGGACCAUAGUUUGUUAGUAUAACUCUGCAUGUGCUUAAUUGUCUUUCCAUUAAAGUGAUUAUACCUUAGAACUUUACAACAUUGAAGUAGUAGACUAUUCUCCAGCAACGGCGGAUAGUUGCUGGUAACAAGGAAAGCCAACAGGGAUCGAUCAUUAGUUUAGUUACCCCACGAGUCUGACUUUAUCCAUGGAACAUGUACUAAUAACCUAAUAUUCUCAUUUGAUUUAAACACUUAAAUAUGAGAUCCAAAAUAUUUUUGUUUGGAUUAGCUGUUUUCUGGAGUGUUUUUGAAAUAUUUUAUUAUGGCAAUCUGUAUAAAUUUUUUUUAUUAUGGAUAUGUUUUGGUGAUGUUUUUUAAGGUAUUUUUGAAAUGUAUUUAAAAAUAUUUUUAAAGCUUAAAAAAUUAAAUCUACCACCCACCACCACCACCCCGUCUCUCCUUCCCCUACCUCUCCCCCUUCCUCCUCCCUUUCUUUCUUCUCUUCCUCCUUCAUUCUUCCCUUCCCAUUUCCUGUCACACCCCACCCUUCCCCUUCCCCUUCCCCUCCUUGAUGUGACGGGAAAUGGGAGAGAAAGGGAGGGGAGGAGGAAAGAGAAGGUGGAGAAAGAGGGAGAGAGAAUAGAGAGGGAAAGAAAAGGAGGAGAAGGAAGGAGAGGAUGGCGGUGGUGGUGGUGGUGGUGGGCGAUGGUGGUGAUAGAUGGAAGAAAAACAUAAUUUAGAUUUUAUUUUUUUUUUGUAUAUUUGAAAUUAUUUUUGAUAUAUUAUAUGGAUGUGAUAUUUUUGAAGGUGUUUUUAUUUAUAUAUUACUGUAGUAAUAUUGUAAAUGAAAAACUUGUUUUUCAAAAAAUGGAGAAUACAAACAAAGCCUAAUUAGUCGUUUUUAAGCUAGUUAUUUGAGUUUGAAAAUAUAUUUGAUAGGUAACCUCCGAAUUUUUGCUGAAAGUGGGAGGUGCCUUUGCAUGCUUGUUCCAAAAAAAAAUAAAAAAUACCUUCAACCAAAAAAUCCUCCUGCAUGCUCGUUUUUAUUACUACGUAGUAGGAAAGCGAAAUAAAGGAAAGAAAAAAUUAUUUUCCCAUGUAUGUUCGUUUUGAUAAGAAAAAAAAAAGAUAAUUAUUAUAAGUUAUAGAAAAUAUUGUGAAUGCUAAUAAUUUUCCUCCAAUAUACUGCAAAUUUUGUAAGACACAAAAUGCACGAAAAUGAAGAAAAUUUUGCUAAACUUUCUUACUAAUACUAUACAAACACCUGUAAAGGGCAAAAAUAACUAGUACUUCUCAAUUUUCAUACUUUAAGGACUCCUGAAAAUCGCUAUGGGCCCAAACCUGCAGGACUAGAGUCUCGCAGCCUGACUAUUUCUUUUAGAGGAAAGUCAUUAGAGAAUGGAGUUGUUGCCGUAAAACCAGAAUUAAGGUCAAUACACUUGCUUCGGUGGUUUCAUCCUCAAAGUCUCUUUCCUCCUCUUUCUUAUGAAGCGGUUUUGCCUUAAAUUCUCUCAAAAAAUUGAAAAUUUAAAAAGAACUUUUUUAGAUAGCACUGGUGUCUGUCUAAAAAAGUUCUGUUUUGUUUUUCGUUUAUACUUCACACCAUUUCAACCGUGCGAUCCUCUGAACUCACAGCCACAGGUUUCUAUUAUACAAGACUCACAACUCAACUACGGCUCUAAGAUAUUAUGAAAGGCUUCUUUCUUUCUUUUUUUUUUCAAUAAAUGUUUUGAACCUUUUCUUUUUCUUCUGGAGUUUGAUAUUUGAGCCUUCCACGAAUUGAAAAUUGAUUGCAUAUAAUGAUAACUCUCUUUCUUUAACUCUUUUUUCGAACCAUCUUCUACGUAAUUCUUUCUCCCAAUAGUAAAAAAAAAAAAAAAAAGGACACAAAUAAAAAUGAAACAAGAAGUAAAAGUUCAAAGAAGAGCAAAAUGGACCAAAGCCUGCAAAUGAUAUUCGUUGUCUUACAAUAAUAUAACAAAUUGUCAGGAUAUAUCAUAUGUUUUCUGAAAAAAAGAAAAAAAAAAGGAAGAAGAAGCUAAAAUCUAAUAGUACUAGGACCCCAACUACUCAAAUGCAUUACUUUCUUCACAGAGUUUUCUCUUCUUGGCGUCUUCUCUACUUCCCUAACCAAGAGAGAUGGCAAAACGGAGCGGGUAGUCAGGGCCUGAUGGUACCAAGAAGCAUGGCGUUGGAGCGGCAUCAAGGGGCGGCUACCUUGAUCUUUGAGAACCAUACCCACGGCUGCUCCUAUGCUCCCACCAACAACCAAGGCCUUUGCAUGCAGUUGCAUUCAUUCUUCCAAUAUUUGUUCUAGUAUAAUUAAUAUUGCAGAAUUAGUAUGAUUGAGAAGGUGGUAUUUCGUAUUGCUUGAGAAGAAAAUAGAUGGAUGAAAAGGUUUGUGAUUAAGGCUGAGAAAGGGACUAUGCGUAUAUAUAGGACAGGUGUAGAGAACAUGGCACGUGAGACAAAAGUUAGGCAUACU
This 3404-nucleotide long non-coding RNA is filed under the name Coffea arabica (coffee). RNAcentral describes it as "long non-coding RNA (CARA_LNC003604)". The record is from RNAcentral. Lineage: Eukaryota; Viridiplantae; Streptophyta; Magnoliopsida; Gentianales; Rubiaceae.